This 977-nucleotide ribosomal RNA is filed under the name Jiangella alkaliphila. RNAcentral describes it as "bacterial LSU rRNA". It matches the Rfam family "Bacterial large subunit ribosomal RNA", at positions 1949 to 2925 of the family's 2925-position model. The record is from RNAcentral. Lineage: Bacteria; Bacillati; Actinomycetota; Actinomycetes; Jiangellales; Jiangellaceae.
UCCUAAGGUAGCGAAAUUCCUUGUCGGGUAAGUUCCGACCUGCACGAAUGGCGUAACGACUUUCCCACUGUCUCAACCACGGACUCGGCGAAAUUGCACUACGAGUAAAGAUGCUCGUUACCCGCAGCAGGACGGAAAGACCCCGGGACCUUUACUAUAGCUUGGUAUUGGUGUUCGGUUCGGCUUGUGUAGGAUAGGUGGGAGACUGUGAAGCCGGCACGCCAGUGUCGGUGGAGUCAACGUUGAAAUACCACUCUGGUCGUACUGGAUAUCUAACCUCGGUCCGUGAUCCGGAUCAGGGACAGUGCCUGGUGGGUAGUUUAACUGGGGCGGUUGCCUCCUAAAAGGUAACGGAGGCGCCCAAAGGUUCCCUCAGCCUGGUUGGCAAUCAGGUGUCGAGUGCAAGUGCACAAGGGAGCUUGACUGUGAGACCGACAGGUCGAGCAGGUGCGAAAGCAGGGACUAGUGAUCCGGCAGUGGCUUGUGGAAGCGCUGUCGCUCAACGGAUAAAAGGUACCCCGGGGAUAACAGGCUGAUCCUGCCCAAGAGUCCAUAUCGACGGCAUGGUUUGGCACCUCGAUGUCGGCUCGUCGCAUCCUGGGGCCGUAGCAGGUCCCAAGGGUUGGGCUGUUCGCCCAUUAAAGCGGUACGCGAGCUGGGUUUAGAACGUCGUGAGACAGUUCGGUCCCUAUCCGCUGCGGGCGCAGGAGACUUGAGAAGGGCUGUCCCUAGUACGAGAGGACCGGGACGGACGAACCUCUGGUGUGCCAGUUGUUCCGCCAGGAGCACCGCUGGUUGGCUACGUUCGGAAGGGAUAACCGCUGAAAGCAUCUAAGCGGGAAGCCUGCUUCAAGAUGAGGUCUCCCACACCGCGAGGUGGUAAGGCCCCCAGCUAGACGACUGGGUUGAUAGGCCGGACGUGGAAGCCCAGCAAUGGGUGAAGCUGACCGGUACUAAUAGGCCGAGGACUUGACCAC